This 2699-nucleotide long non-coding RNA is filed under the name Oncorhynchus kisutch (coho salmon). Its description in RNAcentral is "lncRNA (ENSOKIG00005013704.1)". Lineage: Eukaryota; Metazoa; Chordata; Actinopteri; Salmoniformes; Salmonidae. The record is from RNAcentral.
CAAAUAUUAACACUUAAAGUGUAGGCCUAAUACUACAAAUAUUAGGCAUAUUGAGCAUUUGUGCUUCUAACAUUAGUUAAUCUAUUUGCUUAGAAAUAUCCCUUUUUAUUUGCUAUUUAUACAAUAAACACAAUUGAAGAAUGUAGGGAGAUCUUUCUGUAGGCCUAUUUCAAUAUCUUACGAUAUUGAAUAUUUAAUGUCCGUUUCUUUUAUGGCCAAACACUGAUUGAAAUAUGCAUUAUAAUGCGCUGGAUUAUAUAGAGGAAAUCCACAUUUGAGUCUGGCCAAUCUCUGCAAACUGUUCUAUUUACACAACAGUAGCGUGCUUCCCAAAAAACGGUCGGUGACUGUUUUGAUAAAAGGGGUGACCCGCGAGGUUGGCUGAUGCCUCCCCUGCUCUCUCUGUACACAACCUCGCGACCCUUGGCACAGCCAGAGAAAACACAGUCUGCACGCAAUGCCGGGUCUGUGGCACAAUGAUUAACCCGUAAAUGUGCUGUCAAUCCGCUUCGUAGCCUGCAAAGCCCGCUGAGAGUUGGAGGGGGUAGACGAGGUUCAUUUGUUUCAUGGCUCGUGUUGCGUGUCAAGCAUUAUAUAUCUUCUUUCACUGUGUUGCUGUAUGUCUGUCUUUGUACACGCGUUUCAUAUUUCCUUUCUUUAUGAUAUCUCCUCUUUAUUUUUUUCCCUCCCACAGUUUGAGUCAGCGUAAAAAAGCGCAUGGCAGCUUCGUGCGUGACAGAAAGAUGGAUGACCGAGAGAUUUCCGCACGCAACAAUUGUUUUUCCCGGGGCUGCUGCCUUCAAUUGACUGACCAAGCAGAUUUAGGAUUGUCCCGAAGACCAUGCCCACCCCUCCAUGCCGGAGCUCCGCUUUCUCACUCGAACUGCAGGAGCAGGGACGCUGCGCUGAGGUGCAGGGGCGUGCUGACAGAAUACUCCCCCACCCCCACACCCCAGCAUCCUUAACCAAGGGCUGGGGGAGGCGAGGGCUUGGCCAAAACGCUCCCACGCAACUUGGCCAAUCAUUAACUUGACUGCUAACAGGUACACGCACGCAAUGGCAUUUGACAGUUUUUAUCACGACUUGUUUCAAAACAGACCCCGCUCAGAAUGGUGUGUUGUAGAUGCUGAGGUCUAGAAGACUCGAUUCUGGGUCUUAAUACAUAUAACUUACAUUUGAGUAAGUUCCAAUUGGGAUAUUGAUUAACACAACAGGGAUCCGAAGUCAAACACUUUGGAUAGCUUACACAAGCAGACAAGACAAUAUAGUCUCUUAUCUCAAUCGAAUGUUUUAUCCUCCAUGACACACUUGAUAGGUUGGCUACAUUUGUUUCCUAUAAGUUAAUAAGACGCACACGUCUUCCCAUUGUCCUUAUAUGCACCACUGUUAUACUGUUGACAGGUUGGUUGAGUGAGAUUUAUCAAACUGUCAAAGAUGAGUCUCUUGAUUAAAAGUACUUCGGGGCUGUAAAUUCUCCCGCUUGGGAUAGGCUACACCUUUGCACGCUAUCGAAAUCUGUUGCAAUGAGUAGGCCUAAAGGAAAGAUUGCCAAAGGGUUUAUGACUUAAUAACCAAUGCGUAACAGUUUCCUGUUAAUUAAUUUAUGGAACAAGUAUUCAAAGAAGAAAUGUUGAUGUUUGCUAAUAAUAAAAUAUAAAAAUGAAUACCACUGGAAACAGACUAGACACUGAUGGUACAUUUACUUUUGAAAAUAUUGUGGGCCCAAAGUGAUUAACCUUGUGUCCUUAAAUUAGUUGUGGAAGAGUUCAUGUUCAAUAGAUCAUUGAGAAUAAAUAUUUGGAUCAGGCCCUAAAAUACUGUCAUCCUUAUACAAUGUGCUUUAUAUAACUGUUUUCAUGAAUAUGUUCCAUAUACUUUUAAGAUAAAUAGUUCAUAACAUGAUAAGGAGUGGAUGAAUUGCCUUUUUUUCAAUAUGGCUUAUUAGCCUACUGCCUACCAUAGCCUGCAAUAUUAAGCCCAAUACCAUAACAUUCAUGGUAAUAAAUUAAUAAUAAAAUACAUAUAAAUAUUUAGGCCUAAACAAAUAAAUAAACAAAAAAUACAAAUAUAAUUACCACAUCUAUAACAUUAUAAGUAAAAUAUGUAGUAUGAUGAAUAGGUAUGAUAGUGAUUAUAGGUCUACAUCUACAUAGUUGUGCUUAUGAUUAUGAUGAUAUAUUAUGAUUAAAAGUUAGUCUGAUUGUAUUAUUGUAUUGUUAUUACACAAUAACACAUUUAACAUGUGCAAAUAUAAUCGGUGAUCAUUCCACAAAUCAAUGUAUUCCUCUUACCUAACUGGCUUCUUCUGUAUAGUGUGUUUUAUAACUCCCUCCAACAGGCUAAUGAACAUCUGAAAAGAGACUCAUCCAAUCAUUCUGAUAUGAACCUAAAAUCAAAUCUAAAAAUGUUUAAAAAUUCAAAAUGUAAAAAAAGAACGUGGAAUAGCCUACUGAGAAUGACUUGUUCGAAAAUUAAAUAUGCAGUCUAUUAUAUUUCUCUAUGGUUAGACGUUCUAAAAUAUUUUUAUAACAAACUAUAUGACAUUUUAUGUAUAUCUUUUUUCAAUAGGACCCAUCAAUGAUAUAUCAGUGAAAGCAUGCACCUCUAGAAAAAAAUCUUGCUCCUUAGACGUUUCUUUUUAUUAUAAAGGCAAGCUUACAUUGUAUAUACACUACUCAUUGAUGUUUCCGCUUGAUAUU